This 323-nucleotide unclassified non-coding RNA is filed under the name soil metagenome. RNAcentral describes it as "partial contains 5.8S ribosomal RNA, internal transcribed spacer 2, and large subunit ribosomal RNA". The stretch from base 1 to 120 matches the Rfam family "5.8S ribosomal RNA", at positions 35 to 154 of the family's 154-position model. The record is from RNAcentral.
GAUGAAGAACGCAGCGAAAUGCGAUAAGUAGUGUGAAUUGCAGAAUUCAGUGAAUCAUCGAAUCUUUGAACGCACAUUGCGCCCCUUGGUAUUCCAUGGGGCAUGCCUGUUCGAGCGUCAUUUGUACCUUCAAGCUUUGCUUGGUGUUGGGUGUUUGUCCCUCGGGACUCGCCUUAAAGUCAUUGGCAGCCAGUGUUUUGGUUUUGAAGCGCAGCACAAGUCGCGAUUCAAGGCUAUCCGCCCGCUUCCACAAGCCUUUUUCACUUUUGACCUCGGAUCAGGUAGGGAUACCCGCUGAACUUAAGCAUAUCAUAAGCGGAGGA